This 481-nucleotide ribosomal RNA is filed under the name uncultured bacterium. RNAcentral's name for it is "partial 16S ribosomal RNA". It matches the Rfam family "Bacterial small subunit ribosomal RNA", at positions 28 to 523 of the family's 1533-position model. The record is from RNAcentral.
GACGAACGCUGGCGGCGUGCUUAACACAUGCAAGUCGAACGAUGAAGCCCAGCUUGCUGGGUGGAUUAGUGGCGAACGGGUGAGUAACACGUGGGUGAUCUGCCCUGCACUCUGGGAUAAGCCUGGGAAACUGGGUCUAAUACCGGAUAUGACCUCUUGCUGCAUGGCGAGGGGUGGAAAGUUUUUCGGUGCAGGAUGAGCCCGCGGCCUAUCAGCUUGUUGGUGGGGUAAUGGCCUACCAAGGCGACGACGGGUAGCCGGCCUGAGAGGGCGACCGGCCACACUGGGACUGAGACACGGCCCAGACUCCUACGGGAGGCAGCAGUGGGGAAUAUUGCACAAUGGGCGCAAGCCUGAUGCAGCGACGCCGCGUGAGGGAUGACGGCCUUCGGGUUGUAAACCUCUUUCACCCAUGACGAAGCGCAAGUGACGGUAGUGGGAGAAGAAGCACCGGCCAACUACGUGCCAGCCGCCGCCGUAA